Molecule: ribosomal RNA, 512 nt
Filed under: uncultured archaeon
Lineage: Archaea
Description: bacterial SSU rRNA
Rfam family: Archaeal small subunit ribosomal RNA
Source: RNAcentral
GAUAGGACUGCGGCCUAUCAGGCUGUUGGUGGUGUAACGGACCACCAAACCUACAACGGGUACGGGCGAUGGGAGUCGGAGCCCGGAGAUGGGGACUGAGACAAGGCCCCAGGCCCUACGGGGCGCAGCAGGCGCGAAAACUCCGCAAUGCGCGAAAGCGUGACGGGGGAACCCCAAGUGCCGUUGGUCUUUUGAUCGACGGCUUUUAGGGAGUCUAAGAAGCUCCCAGAAUAAGGGCUGGGUAAGUCGGGUGCCAGCCGCCGCGGUAAUACCCGCAGCCCAAGUGGUGGUCGCGAUUAUUGGGCCUAAAGCGCUCGUAGCCGGGUUGGUAAGUCUCUUGUGAAAUCGGACGGCCUAACCGUUCGGCUUGCAAGGGAUACUGCUAGUCUUGAGGCCGGGAGACGCUGAGGGUACUCUGGGGGUAGCGGUGAAAUGCUCUAAUCCUCGGGGGACCACCAGUGGCGAAGGCGUUCAGCGAGAACGGACCUGACGGUGAGGGGCGAAGGCUAGGG